AAUUGCCUUUUUUUGGAUACUUUGGAGUGCCUGGAUUACUUUCUACAUUUCUAUUACAUAUUUGGUCUCUUGGUACUGGGACUGAUCCGGUUAGCACCCAAGUAUACCUUAGACGAAGGGUUUGAGUGCAGUUCCACAUUUUCUCUAUGUCUAUCAGUGUGUGUCCGUCAGUGAGUUUGUAUCUGUCUGUCAGUGAAUGUGUUUGUUUGUUUGUGUGUGUGCAUAUCUGUGAGUGAGUGAGUGUGUGUGUGUCUGUCAGUGUAUGUCUGUGAGUGAGUAUGUGUGUCUGUC
Non-coding RNA from Pelobates cultripes (western spadefoot toad), 291 nucleotides. Lineage: Eukaryota; Metazoa; Chordata; Amphibia; Anura; Pelobatidae. The record is from the annotation of a GenBank genome assembly.